UGGCGGCGUGCCUAACAAUGCAAGUCGAGCGGUCACCACUUUGUAGCAAUACAGAUGAAGUGAUAGCGGCAGACGGGUGAGUAACACGUAGGCAAUCUGCCUUUCCGACCGGGAUAACUAGCCGAAAGGUUAGCUAAUACCUGAUACGAUCAUCGAGCGGCAUCGUUUGAUGAUGAAAGCAGCAAUGCGCGGAUUGAGGAGCCUGCGGCCCAUUAGCUAGUUGGUGAGGGUAACGGCCCACCAAGGCGACGAUGGGUAGCUGGUCUGAGAGGACGACCAGCCACACUGGGACUGAGACACGGCCCAGACUCCUACGGGAGGCAGCAGUGAGGAAUUUUCCGCAAUGGGCGAAAGCCUGACGGAGCGACGCCGCGUGCACGAGGAAGGUCUUCGGAUCGUAAAGUGCUGUCGAGGGGGACGAUUAUGACGGUACCCCUGGAGGAAGCCCCGGCUAACUACGUGCCAGCAGCCGCGGUAAGACGUAGGGGGCGAGCGUUGUUCGGAAUUACUGGGCGUAUAGCGUGCGUAGGCGGAUUCGUAAGUCGAGGUUGAAAUAU
This 557-nucleotide ribosomal RNA is filed under the name uncultured bacterium. Its description in RNAcentral is "bacterial SSU rRNA". It matches the Rfam family "Bacterial small subunit ribosomal RNA", at positions 37 to 602 of the family's 1533-position model. The record is from RNAcentral.